GAGAAACCCUGGAAUUCACAAUGGGCAAUCCUGAGAAAAUCCGUCGACUUAAGAAAUCAUGAGGGUU
RNAcentral lists this transfer RNA (67 nucleotides) under Vigna sp. GL-2017. Its description in RNAcentral is "tRNA-Leu". The record is from RNAcentral. Lineage: Eukaryota; Viridiplantae; Streptophyta; Magnoliopsida; Fabales; Fabaceae.